GACGAACGCUGGCGGCGUGCUUAACACAUGCAAGUCGAACGGAAAGGCCCUGCUUUUGUGGGGUGCUCGAGUGGCGAACGGGUGAGUAACACGUGAGUAACCUGCCCUUGACUUUGGGAUAACUUCAGGAAACUGGGGCUAAUACCGGAUAGGAGCUCCUGCUGCAUGGUGGGGGUUGGAAAGUUUCGGCGGUUGGGGAUGGACUCGCGGCUUAUCAGCUUGUUGGUGGGGUAGUGGCUUACCAAGGCUUUGACGGGUAGCCGGCCUGAGCGGGUGACCGGCCACAUUGGGAUUGGGAUACGGCCCAGACUCCUACGGGAGGCAGCAGUGGGGAAUAUUGCACAAUGGGCGGAAGCCUGAUGCAGCAACGCCGCGUGCGGGAUGACGGCCUUCGGGUUGUAAACCGCUUUCGCCUGUGACGAAGCGUGAGUGACGGUAAUGGGUAAAGAAGCACCGGCUAACUACGUG
This 468-nucleotide ribosomal RNA is filed under the name uncultured bacterium. Its description in RNAcentral is "partial 16S ribosomal RNA". It matches the Rfam family "Bacterial small subunit ribosomal RNA", at positions 28 to 507 of the family's 1533-position model. The record is from RNAcentral.